Bos mutus (wild yak) is the source of this 213-nucleotide small nucleolar RNA. Its record names the gene U3. It matches the Rfam family "Small nucleolar RNA U3". From Rfam's summary of the family: Small nucleolar RNAs (snoRNAs) are involved in the processing and modification of rRNA in the nucleolus. There are two main classes of snoRNAs: the box C/D class, and the box H/ACA class. Lineage: Eukaryota; Metazoa; Chordata; Mammalia; Artiodactyla; Bovidae. The record is from Ensembl.
AAGACUAUACUUUCAGGGAUCAUUUCUAUAGUUCGUUACUAGAGAAGUUUCUCUGAUCGUGUAGAGCACCCGAAACCACGAGGAAGAGACGCAGCGUUUUCUCCUGAGCAUGAAGUUGGCGUUUGGUGCUGCUGGACGCAGCUGCCAUCGGCCGUUGAUCGUUCUUCUCUCCCGUCUGGGAGAGUAAGAGGGAGAAAACGCCGUCUGAGUGAA